RNAcentral lists this ribosomal RNA (253 nucleotides) under uncultured bacterium. RNAcentral describes it as "partial 16S ribosomal RNA". It matches the Rfam family "Bacterial small subunit ribosomal RNA", at positions 524 to 776 of the family's 1533-position model. The record is from RNAcentral.
UACGGGGGGGGCAAGCGUUGUUCGGAAUUACUGGGCGUAAAGGGCUCGUAGGCGGCCAACUAAGUCAGACGUGAAAUCCCUCGGCUUAACCGGGGAACUGCGUCUGAUACUGGAUGGCUUGAGUGUGGGAGAGGGAUGCGGAAUUCCAGGUGUAGCGGUGAAAUGCGUAGAUAUCUGGAGGAACACCGGUGGCGAAGGCGGCAUCCUGGACCAUUACUGACGCUGAUGAGCGAAAGCCAGGGGAGCGAACAGG